AACGUCGGGUCCUCAGAGCCCUCCCCCCCCUCCCCCCCAACCUCUGUCGUUUCUUCCUCCCCCUGCCUGCCUCGCCUCCUUCCUUCUUACCCAAGCACACGAAUUAGGGCAUCCACCGCCGCCUCACCCCCUGGUGGCCGAGCCCCGCUCUCUUUAAACCCUCCUCUCCUCCACUUCUACCGCGGCGCCGGCGAUCGCCGCCCCCUUGUGCCCCUCCUCCCAUGGCGAGCAACCCCGCGAGCGUCGGCGGUCGCACCAGCGUCCGCGUCGUCGUCAUCGGCGACCCCGGCACGGGUAAGUCCAGCCUCAUCGUCUCCGUAGCCACCGAGACCUUCCCCGAGAACGUCCCCCACGUCAUGCCCCCAACCCGCCUCCCGGCCGACUACUACCCCGAUCGCGUCCCAGUCACCAUCAUCGACACCUCCUCCAGCCCGGAGAACAAGACCAAGUUGAUCAGCGAGUGCCAGAUGGCCGACGCCAUUGUGCUCACCUACGCCUGUGACCGACCCUCCACUCUUGACCGCCUCAGCACCUACUGGCUCCCGGAGCUCCGCCGCCUUGAGAUUAAGGUGCCCGUGAUCGUCGUUGGCUGCAAGCUGGAUCUGCGGGACGAGCAGCAGAUGAGCCUGGAGCAGGUCAUGUCGCCGAUCAUGCAGCAGUUUCGGGAGAUCGAGACUUGCAUCGAAUGCUCCGCCCUCAGGCAGAUUCAGGUUCCUGAGGUUUUCUAUUAUGCUGAGAAGGCAGUGCUUCAUCCUACUGCCCCACUUUUUGAUCAAGAGACGCAAUCAUUGAAGCCUCGAUGUGUGAGGGCUUUGAAACGGAUAUUCAUUCUCUGUGACCAUGAUAGAGAUGGGGCUCUCAGUGAUGCAGAGUUGAAUGAAUUUCAGGUUAAAUGCUUUAACUCUCCUCUCCAGCCUUCUGAAAUUGUGGGUGUCAAGAAAGUUGUGCAAGAGAAGAUGCCUGAAGGGGUUAAUGAGCAUGGGCUUACUUUGACUGGGUUCCUUUUCCUCCAUGCACUUUUUAUAGAAAAAGGCCGUCUUGAAACGACGUGGACGGUGUUAAGAAAAUUUGGAUAUGACAAUGAUAUUAAGCUUAGGGAUGAUCUCCUGCCAUUAACAUUUAAACGAGCCCCUGAUCAGAGUGUGGAGCUAACGAAUGAAGCUGUGGAGUUCUUGAAAGGAAUUUUCUUCGUGUUUGAUAUUGACAAAGAUGGGGCUCUGCGACCUGCUGAACUUGAUGAUCUGUUUUCAACUGCACCAGAGAGCCCUUGGUCUGAAGCUCCUUACAAGGAUGCUGCAGAAAAGAACGUGCUAGGAGGAUUGUCACUUGAAGGAUUUCUUUCCGAGUGGGCCCUCAUGACACUUCUAGACCCAGCAGGUAGUCUUGCUAAUCUGAUAUACAUUGGAUACCCUGGCGAUGCUGCUUCAGCAUUUCAUAUAACCAGAAAAAGGAGGUUGGACCGUAAACGGCAACAAUCCCAGAGAAAUGUUAUUCAGUGCUUUGUCUUUGGUCCUAAAAAUGCUGGAAAAUCUGCAUUGUUAAAUGCACUUGUAGGGAGAACAUUCCCUGAGAAAUACACACCAACAACCAGCGAGCGGUUUGCAGCAAAUAUUGUAGAACUGCCAGGAGGGAUAAAAAAGACACUAGUAAUGCGGGAGGUACCAGAAGAUGACGUCAAAAUGGUGCUGUCUAAUAAGGAGUCCUUAGCACCUUGUGACAUAGCUGUAUUUGUUCAUGACAGUUCGGAUGAGAAUUCAUGGAGGAAAGCCAAAGAUUUGCUUGUGCAAGUUGCUAGUCAUGGAGAAAAUACUGGCUUUGAGGUUCCUUGCCUUAUUGUUUCUGCUAAGGAUGAUCUUGAUCCAUAUCCCUUGGCCAUACAGGAUUUGACAAGGUGCACUGGAAGCUCUCAUGCUGGUAAGCCAGGAGAUGGGAAUAGAGACACCUAUACCUAUCAGCAUAAAGUUAAGAGAUCUCAAUAAUGUAUUCCAUAGAAUAGUUACUGCUGCACAGCAUCCCCAUCUGAGCAUUCCUGAAACUGAAGCUGGAAGAAACCGCAAGCACUAUCGCCGGCUUGUAAAUCGUUCCCUCAUGUUUGUUUCAGUUGGAGCUGCUGUGGCAGUUGUGGGACUGGCUGCUUACAGGGUUUAUGCUGCUAGGAAGAAUACAUCAAACUGAGGAUUUCCUUCGGUGCGUCAAGCAGCUUGGCAAAAGCAGCAGAAGUUGUUCUAGCGUCGCUAUUUUUUGGGACUAUCCUGUCAUCCUAUGUUUUUUUUUUUUUUUGUUAAGAUGUACAGUUGUCACCGUGUCCAUCAAGGCCUGAGCAAAGAAAGUUUGUGCUGCCCCAAGUUGAUGGUUUCCUAGUUCUGUUUCUGAGAUUUUUAAAUGAUGGAAAGCUUUGUAGUUUUUGUUGGUGCACAGGGGGUAACCUCUAAACUACAGGCUGAUAUUUUUUUGUUAAUUCUCAUAAUUAUUCAGGCUGACAGCUCGAUUUUGAGAAGUUGAUUUUCA
Molecule: RNA transcript, 2508 nt
Organism: Elaeis guineensis (African oil palm)
Lineage: Eukaryota; Viridiplantae; Streptophyta; Magnoliopsida; Arecales; Arecaceae
Gene name: mitochondrial Rho GTPase 1
Source: RefSeq, a predicted model, not a curated record